Setaria italica (foxtail millet) is the source of this 1332-nucleotide long non-coding RNA. RefSeq lists it as uncharacterized. The transcript has 2 exons. The record is from RefSeq and is a predicted model, not a curated record. NCBI's taxonomy places the organism in Eukaryota, Viridiplantae, Streptophyta, Magnoliopsida, Poales, Poaceae.
GCGACGACGACUCGUCUCCUCCGACGCAGCGCCGCCGACUCCGCCUCCGCCCCCUCCUUAUCCCCCUUCAGUUCACCCCUCCCCCUCACGCAGCGAGUCAUCCGCGGCGGCGGCGGCUAACAGAUCAAGGAUACAUCACACCAUACUUUGAAGAUUUGCAUUGUGCCGACGAAGAAAGGCACGUGUUGACUGGAAUCAUGGUUGCACUUUCGGCAUCCACUUCUCCAGAAGUGACAUUGAAGCUAGACAGCACCAUACCCCGUUGUUUUCAGCGUGUGAUGGCCGCGGUGGCGUCUUCUUCACUGACAAUAGGGCAAAAUAACAGGAACCAAAAGGCGAGCCGUGCUGCUCAGUGGUUUGCGUUUGUCUUCGUGCCGUUUGCUUUCAUUGUCACUGCAGCAGGUUUGGCGUGCAUCAUGUAUAACAAACCCCGCCUGGGGUUCCGGUUAUCAUGUUAUCAUGUAACCCUCUUCUUGCCGCGUGCACCCUUGGCCGCGUGGGAAGCUCUCCACGAUGUCGGUUUUGAGAAGAUUGGCGUUGCUGUCAGUCUAACCUGUGGCCCCGUUUUGUUAUUGGACCAGGCAAUACCCAUCGUCUGGUCUAGCCUUGUCUCCCAUCUGAUUGCUGUUAUCGUUGCCUUCUGGGUCUGCCUUGUUCGGGCGUAUGGCAAGAGUUAGUCUAGCUAGCUAGCGGCUUAUUGGAUGCGGUUUGUAGUAGAAUAAUAAUGGGCCUUUUGGCGCUUCUUCCUGUAAUAAGGUUGGUGCCACUAACGGCUCUAUUUUGUCACCUGCUGAGGGCAAGAUCCAGGUUUUAGGACCAAAGGAUAAACACAGUGCUCAGUUUCAGAUGAAGAAGACGGUGGAGGUUCAAUCUAAUUGUUUACCCUUCUCCCGUUUUAUAUGUCACCUACAAAGUGUACAACUGUACAUACAAAAGAAAACCCCAGCCCUUGCAAGGAGGAAACUGCAGGGCUGAAAACGUCAGGAAAAUCUUCUACAGUUAUCAUUAGCUUACUGUCUACAAAGAAGCUCUUAGCUGGGUAUAACUAUUUCCUUCUAGCACAAGUCCACCAUAUACGUCUUUUGGAUAUAUUUCCGCACACUGAGAUGACCACAAAUUGCAGUUUUGCUGCUUGACAGAAUCCUGGAUAAUUGUUGAAACACGUUAUAUUGUUGUUGAACUGAAUAAAACGGUUGCGCUCUGCCAAAUCAACAUAUUGAGCAGUUGAAAGUUUCUGUAGGAAAUCUGUUUAUUUCUUGCGAUUGUAUCCUUGUAAUCUGCAAACAUGCGGCCAGUUGGUUUCUGCUUCUAUUUAACUAUUGUUGUUUCUCA